AACGAACGCUGGCGGCAUGCCUAACACAUGCAAGUCGAACGGGAACUUCGGGUCUAGCGGCGCACGGGUGCGUAACGCGUGGGAACGUGCCCUUAGGUUCGGAAUAACGCCCCGAAAGGAGUGCUAAUACCGGAUACUCUCUUCGGACAAAAGCUUUAUUGCCUUGGGAUGGGCCCGCGUUGGAUUAGCUAGUUGGUAGGGUAAUGGCCUACCAAGGCGACGAUCAGUAGCUGGUCUGAGAGGAUGAUCAGCCACACUGGGACUGGGACACGGCCCAGACCCCUCGGGGAGGCGGCAGGGGGGAUAAUUGAAAAAGGGGCGAAAGCCUGAUCCGCCAAGGCGGGUGAGGGGUGGAAGGCUUUGGGUUGGUAAGGCUCUUUUACCCGGGAGGUUAAGGCGGUAACGGGAGGAUUAAGCCCGGCUUACUUCGUG
Molecule: ribosomal RNA, 432 nt
Filed under: uncultured bacterium
Lineage: Bacteria
Description: partial 16S ribosomal RNA
Rfam family: Bacterial small subunit ribosomal RNA
Source: RNAcentral